This 300-nucleotide unclassified non-coding RNA is filed under the name uncultured fungus. RNAcentral's name for it is "partial contains small subunit ribosomal RNA, internal transcribed spacer 1, and 5.8S ribosomal RNA". The stretch from base 1 to 73 matches the Rfam family "Eukaryotic small subunit ribosomal RNA", at positions 1759 to 1831 of the family's 1831-position model. The record is from RNAcentral. Lineage: Eukaryota; Fungi.
UCAAACUUGGUCAUUUAGAGGAAGUAAAAGUCGUAACAAGGUCUCCGUAGGUGAACCUGCGGAGGGAUCAUUAUAGGAAAAAAGUUUAAAAAUAAGUUGUGGAGAUGUUUAUGACUCUCUGCUUCUUCAAACAAACUAUCGCAACUAUAUAUUGUAGAAUGUGAGGGGAAAUGAUUUGGGUGAUAUGUGAAACAAGAAAAAGUGUUUGCCUGAUAUAUAACGAUCAGAGUUUUGAUGAGGGGAAAAAAUAAAACUUUCAACAACGGAUCUCUUGGCUCUCACAUCGAUGAAGAACGCAGC